GCUACAGCCCGACCUAGCCCUCCACCUCCUCCUUCCGGCCGCCGCCAUUAGGCAGGUGUAAUCUUCCGUCAGAUUCGGUCCUGAUUUUGGCGUGUGUGUUUGGCUGCAGCUUCUUGAUGAAGCUGAUUGAUCUGAAGAAUGACACCACCAUCCAUAGCACCAUCGCUGGGCAGGAAGCGGCACAAGUGUUGCUGAGAGGAGCUAGCAGGCAUGGAGGAGACAAGGCGCUUCGUGGCGACCACCUUCACCCUAAUUUUGCAGGAAGGCAGGGUGGGGCAUUGACCAACAUCGGUCUCGGCGUUGAAUAGUCGCUGCCCUCGUACUGAAAUAUGAAAUAGCGUCUCCACCUCAAGAAGUCAUCCCCUGAUUUUCAUUCAUUGGUGAGGAUGCCGCCUAGGAGAGGGAAAGAAAAUUAGGGAUCAUCUGUACCAGAGAAGGGUUUUUAUUUACUUUUUGCAUAUAAAGUGGAAUGAUACAAUAAGCAAAGAUUUUCGUGAAAAAAUAAAACAGCAUGUGGUUCAAUACCAAUAUUUUGUAAGAUCAUGGGGUUAUGUCAGUCUUCCUAUUAUGCCCAUGACUUUGUUUAUUUUGCAGAUAGAUGGUGCCCCGACUUAUU
Molecule: long non-coding RNA, 616 nt
Organism: Lolium rigidum
Lineage: Eukaryota; Viridiplantae; Streptophyta; Magnoliopsida; Poales; Poaceae
Exons: 3
Source: RefSeq, a predicted model, not a curated record